This 257-nucleotide ribosomal RNA is filed under the name uncultured Pseudomonas sp. Its description in RNAcentral is "partial 16S ribosomal RNA". It matches the Rfam family "Bacterial small subunit ribosomal RNA", at positions 96 to 355 of the family's 1533-position model. Lineage: Bacteria; Pseudomonadati; Pseudomonadota; Gammaproteobacteria; Pseudomonadales; Pseudomonadaceae. The record is from RNAcentral.
CGGCGGACGGGUGAGUAAUGCCUAGGAAUCUGCCUGGUAGUGGGGGACAACGUUUCGAAAGGAACGCUAAUACCGCAUACGUCCUACGGGAGAAAGCAGGGGACCUUCGGGCCUUGCGCUAUCGGAUGAGCCUAGGUCGGAUUAGCUAGUUGGUGAGGUAAUGGCUCACCAAGGCGACGAUCCGUAACUGGUCUGAGAGGAUGAUCAGUCACACUGGAACUGAGACGCGGUCCAGACUCCUACGGGAGGCAGCAGUA